GUAGGUGGCAAGCGUUGUCCGGAAUUAUUGGGCGUAAAGCGCGCGCAGGCGGUCCUUUAAGUCUGAUGUGAAAGCCCACGGCUCAACCGUGGAGGGUCAUUGGAAACUGGGGGACUUGAGUACAGAAGAGGAAAGCGGAAUUCCAAGUGUAGCGGUGAAAUGCGUAGAGAUUUGGAGGAACACCAGUGGCGAAGGCGGCUUUCUGGUCUGUAACUGACGCUGAGGCGCGAAAGCGUGGGGAGCAAACAGGAUUAGAUACCCUGGUAGUCCACGCCGUAAACGAUGAGUGCUAAGUGUUAGGGGGUUUCCCGCCCCCUUAGUGCUGCAGCUAGCGCAUUAAGCACUCCGGCCUGGGGAGUACGGCCGCAAGGCUG
RNAcentral lists this ribosomal RNA (374 nucleotides) under uncultured organism. Its description in RNAcentral is "partial 16S ribosomal RNA". It matches the Rfam family "Bacterial small subunit ribosomal RNA", at positions 527 to 896 of the family's 1533-position model. The record is from RNAcentral.